Long non-coding RNA from Pseudophryne corroboree (corroboree frog), 599 nucleotides. RefSeq lists it as uncharacterized. NCBI's taxonomy places the organism in Eukaryota, Metazoa, Chordata, Amphibia, Anura, Myobatrachidae. The transcript is spliced from 2 exons. The record is from RefSeq and is a predicted model, not a curated record.
GUCCCCCUCAGCUUCACCGGCCCCCUCAGCUUCCCAGGCCCCCUCCCCUUUCCACUCCCCUUCUCAGCCCACCUCUCCUUCUCUUUCUGUGCCCCCUUCUCCUCCUUCCCAGUCCCCUUCUCCUUCUACUUCCAACUCCCCUUCUCAGCCCCCCUCACCCUCUAUUGGACAAACAUUCUCUCCGCCCCCCUCGCCAUCUCAAUCAGACCCACCCUCAGAAAUUACAUCCCCAAUCCCUCCUCCUUACCCCAUCUCUCCUCCUUCCCCAAUCCCUCCUCCUUCACCCAUCCAGACUCCUUCCCCCAUCCCUCCUCCUUCCCCAAUCCCUCCUCCUUCCCCCAUCCAGCUGCCUUCACCACCCAGUGAAUGGGCAGAAGAAGCCCCUGAUGGUCUCAGUGGUGAACAUAAUGUUGCUGAGGAAAAUGUUGCAGUUGGAGAUCCCACAAGUUUUGGGGGAAUUAUUGAAACCAUGCGCCAACACCUGCAUGGGUUAAUUAAUUGUCUGGAUCAGUUACAAAAAUUUGCAUGAUUUUUUUUUUGUUUAAUACAUUUAUUGAUUUCCAAAAAAUUACAAAUAAAAACAAGUUGUUUAAAGUUAA